Non-coding RNA from Nicotiana tabacum (common tobacco), 1371 nucleotides. The record is from RefSeq and is a predicted model, not a curated record. NCBI's taxonomy places the organism in Eukaryota, Viridiplantae, Streptophyta, Magnoliopsida, Solanales, Solanaceae.
UUGAAGGCAGCUUGGGCUGUUUCUUCACAAAAAACACACAUAUACGCCUAUACACAGAAGGAGAUGCCUGGAAGAGAGGGCUGCGCAGCUGUGAUUUCUUCUUAACAAAUCCAAGCAGAUACAAACACACAUAUAGGGAUACACUACAGAAUAGAUAGGGAAGAGACGCCUGUAAAAGCUGAGACCGGAGGACACCCAAAUACCCCUCCCAGCGUUCUGCCUUUUCAACCAUACAAUCCCUCGCCGGAAAAUCAAUCACACGGCAACAAACACACACUCACGACGAGCUUUCACCUCUCUUCUAAACUAAAAUGAAACAAAAAUAGCAGGAGAAGGGAAUUGAAAUCGAAAUAGAAAAGGGGAAACAGGAACGGGAAAACAUGAGAGUUGAAAAACAGUGAGAACAGAGGGAUCGAACGGACUUGUUUCAUUCUCAUUUCGAGUUCGAAUCUCUUCGAUUUUCAUGUCGAUUUCUGGUUUGCUUCUGAUUUUCAGUCGGGUCCCUAUCUGAGGUGAGCGAGGAUGUCGUUGACAGUAUCGUUGAGGUUUCCGUUCGAGAUUGUUGCGUCGAGGUCUCUGUUCCAAACGAUUCCGGAUCCAAGUGCUAUUUGAUCUCAAGGUACCACAAGUAUCUCUGUACCAACUAGGAACUGCUCCUGUGUUAAGCUAUGUACAUGUUCAUCUUCUGGAUAGUGAAGGAAGAGAUGUCGACAAAUUGUUAGCCCUUUCUGACAGCCUUUCUGUGUAAUUCAACAAGAUCUUUGCAAGGCGUGCGAAAUGUGACAGUGUUCUAUUAUUGGAGUAGAACUGGCUGUUGCAAGAUGGCUUGUUUCCCUGAAUGAAUAUGUUCAGAAAUGGAAGAACUCGUCAAAUCUUUCAGCAUUGAGAGGGGAAAGAAGAAAAAAUCAUGGAAUUUGAUUCCAGGGAAUGAAGCGAUAAACCUAAUUCAUGUGUCCGGAACACGGUGGUGAAAGCGGAAAAUUCCAUCCAUCGCAAGAGAAACUCUUCACUUCUGUGAUACUUGAAAAAUGAAUCUGCUUAAACCAAUUCGCGGUAUGUGGAUGUGUCAAAUCCAGCAUCCCUACAUCAAAUGCUGUAUUGGGCACCAUAUACGGUUCCCAUUCGUCUUUCACUAAGAUAUCCAACUUCAAACUCGGCCAUUACAUGAAGAUCCCACCUCGAUCAAGGUUCUUGGUUCAGUUUUUAGGAACAAUAAUUUCCGGAACUAUCAACAUAUCCUCAUAGCCUCUACGACAACAAACCCAAUUGUAGACAUAAAACUUUACUAAAGUAGCGGCCACAGAGAGUAUAACCGGAGAAGGGAACGUGAUCAAACUGAGGUAAUGAAUGCUUUUAUUUUGUUUUAACUAA